AUCCAUGACUCCAUGGGGGCUGCCGCCUGUGGCUGUCCCCCUUCCUAGGCAUGGAAGAGCAGCUUCUUGCUAAUUGGCAAAACUUUUAUUCUCUUGUGGAUAUUAGUCGUUGACUGUGGCAAGGAACAGGC
RNAcentral lists this small nucleolar RNA (131 nucleotides) under Colius striatus (speckled mousebird). RNAcentral describes it as "Small nucleolar RNA SNORA24". It matches the Rfam family "Small nucleolar RNA SNORA24". Rfam says of the family: ACA24 is a member of the H/ACA class of snoRNA that guide the sites of modification of uridines to pseudouridines. The record is from Rfam by way of RNAcentral. Lineage: Eukaryota; Metazoa; Chordata; Aves; Coliiformes; Coliidae.